Long non-coding RNA from Homo sapiens (human), 5569 nucleotides. RefSeq lists it as uncharacterized. The record is from RefSeq and is a predicted model, not a curated record. Lineage: Eukaryota; Metazoa; Chordata; Mammalia; Primates; Hominidae. The transcript has 3 exons.
AAGUGACCAGGGAAGAGGAAGGGGUGGACCUGGGCAGGAGGGAAAGGUUUAAGGAGCAGGGAGCCAGGUAGAUCUUCCCUGAGGCAUCUCUUACCCAAGAAGCCAGCCCCCACCCUCCACACCCUGCCUCUCUGGGGCUAAAGGCUGAGGCAAAGCGGAGCCUCUGGACAGCCCCUGGCGGGAGGGAAAGGGGAGUCAGAUUACUGGCUCUGCCAGGCUCCACGCUGGGCUCAGGGGCUCGGUUACCCUGGAAACCUAACCCCUUGAAUGCAGAGCUGGCUAUCCCCAGGGCUCACCCAUUGCUGGGUGACACCAGGUGUAGGCAGCACUCGCCCACAGGGAUGGGACUGGAGGUGCAGAGGCCUAGAGAGCCAUCAGGAAUGGGUUCAGAGCCACCUGCACCUGCAGGUGCGCCUCCCUCCUGCCUAGAUGCCAGUCCCCGCUUGCCUACUUACAGCCACUGCCCACCCCCACCCCCGAGCCCCACCCUGGCUUUCUCUGUCCCACACGACUGCCUCAGAUGGACAGGCUGGGUGGGCAGUGGUGGGUGAUGCUGCCUGAAUCACCCUGGCAACAGCCUGCGCCUUACCCUCGCUUCCUUCCUAGGGGCCUCCCCUCUCCCCCGGGUCCUGUUUACCAGGAGAUAAAGGGCCCCACGGGCUCCCGCCCACACCAACCCUUCUGUCAUUUCCCUACACACUGCAGGCCCUGGCCCUGGGCAGCCUCCCCCGCCUGCCAGCUCCUCCACCCGCCUUGCCCUCAGCUUCUCUGACUGUGGGUCCAACUCUGUGACUGCCUCCCCAUGGGCCAGGCCCUAUGCCAGGGCUCUGCCAAGCCAUGCUGGCACCCUAUAACCCUCGGGAGCUGGGGAGGCAGCUCAGGUGAGGAGAGGGACCAGCCUGGGAGCCCCUGCCACACUUUCUUGCCUCAGGACCACGUUGUUAAGAGCAGCAGCAAUGAGGCCUGGAGGCUGUGUCACCCUCCCCUGGAGGCGAGUCAUUAGGACAUCCUGGGGCCCACAAACCACAGUUCCCCCUGCUUCCCUCUUGGUUGGGGAAAGAUUAAAGAGCCAAGCUGGGGCACAACCUUUGUGCCUUGUACUCAGGGAAAAGGGACAGGCUCAGAGGGGCAGAGGCAGAUAUCAGGCCCGUUAACGGUCUGCUGUCACCAUGCAUGUGUGUGGCAGGUGUCUGCCUCCUCUCCAGACCCUGCAACCUCCUAGGAGUAAGGGUGUCCAUCAUUGCUGAAGUCCAGGCCUGGGGAGGCGGACAGCCUGAAGGCUGGGAGCGCUGCAUGGCUGAGACCCCGGGCUGCCCCCAAGGGUCUGCCUCCCUGGGCAGAUCCUCAGCAGGUGCUUGACCGAGGGCCACAGUUUGAGCGCUGGCAGAGCUGCUGCACGGGCUAGAUAGGAAAUUGGGCCCCAAACCCUUCUCCAGGGUCCAUUUUGCGUUGGUCUAAGAGGCCGUCCUGGGCUUGACCUUGCGUUUCCAGGAUGAUGCCCACACCUGCUGCCCUUCCUCUCUGGUUCCCUGCCCACCUCCUUCCUUCCCUGCAGAUUCCACUUCCUGGGUCCUUCCCUCAAGUUCCUGGACCCCCGCUGGCUGCAAAGUGGAGGCCAGGUUCCAAUCUGGCCUCCGACUGGCUACGUCUGGUUUCACCAGGGGUUUAAGACAGAUUUUCUACAUGUGACAACGAGAUGGGUUCACAUAAGAGCCCAGAUUCCCAGCUUCUCUUGAGGCCUCCAAAGACCUGGUACUACUGGGUCACCACAGAAACAGUGACAGCCCCUCGACAAGGGAGGCCUAUGUCACCCCAUACUCAUACCUCACAGGAUCCUUAGGCUUCUAUCCCCUAGGGGCUGGGCUCGUGAAUCUAAGUGCUCCCCUUCUUUGCUCUCCUGUUCCCCAGGCCCUCAGAGAGCCAGCCUCCUGGAUGCCCCCCAGACACAGUGGGUGCCAUGGAGCCAGUGCCUCUCCCUCACUCUGCUGUCCUGGAGCCUGGCUCCCUGUGGUAAGCCAGGCUUGCAGAGGUGGCUCCUGACAUCAAUCCGCGGGCAUGUGGCUGCUGCGGGAGGCACACACUGGCUCAGGACAAAGGGCAAGGGCUCACGGCUCUACCCACGACUCAAAGAGCAUGCCCCAGCCCUUCAGAUAUGGCCCCACCUAGGCCUUCAUGCCAGUGUGCUUUUAUAGUCACCCUGCCAAGGACCCAGAAUGUCCUUCCCCAGGUGACACACCCUACCUACAGAGAAUUCUGCCCCAGCCAUGCCUGCCCUUGAUAAUAUACCCCGCCAGCACGGCCUCUGCCCAGCCAUCCCUCCCGUGUCAGGCAGGCUCCCCGCAGAGUCCCUGGGUGAUGCCUCUCUGGCCCUGGAGCCCCAAGGCCAGCCCAGGCCUCUGCUCUGGCAGAACAAGUGCGGCAGGCGGGCGUGCUGGCAGAGCUCGGCGUGGGUAGAUGGAGCUCGGAGGGUCCGGAAGGGUCCAGGUUCCCUCGCCCUCCUCCGCAGCCUCUCUGGGAUGGCGCUCCGGGACAGGGAAACAGGGAAGCAGGUGGCGGGGAGGCCGAGGGGCAGCUGGACUCAGCCCGCUUAGGCCUCCAGCAGGCAGGCAGGCAGGAGGCCACUCUCCCGGAACCUCCAGGCCGGGGGAAGAGCGCCUCCGAGGGCUCAGGCCCUACUCGGCCCCACCAUCGCCAAGACCGGCCAGCGGGGCGGCGCGGGGGGAUCGGCCCGCACCCUCCGCCUGCAAGAGCGCUGGGCGCACGCGGAGGGCGGGGGCCAGCCCGGGAAGCUCGGGGUGCGGAGGACGGGCUGGGGCCGCACGGGAGCGCAGGGCAGCAGGGGCCGGGCUGCCUCAGGACGCCUCCCUCCCUCCCUCCCUCCCACAGGCCGGAUGCUGCCGACGCGUUCUGGGCGCCGAAGGGAGUCCCAGGACCGGGUGUCACGCCGGGGUCGCCCAGGCCGGCGCGGGGCAGCAGGCAGCAGGGUGGGGGGGUGCCCUCGCGCCUGUGUCCCUCACGCCGCCCCAGCUCCUGCCCAGGUGGCUGUGGCUGGCGUUCCGGGACCUCUGUGACCUUGGGUCUCUGCCCCUCUCCGAGAACCCCACGGGUCCCCAGCUCAGCGUCGGGACAGCUGCGCCCGCGGAGUCCGGUCCGGAGCACCCACGGGCGCGGCCCGGGCCCGAGGAGAACGCCGCGGCUCCAGCAGCAAACAAGUGGGGGAGGGUGGGAGGGGCGUCCUCGCGCCGCCCGGGCGGGGAAGGGGCGCCUGCGUCGGCUUCCGGCCGCCUUCCGCGGCCACCGCCGGGCCCGCUCCCGCCGCCGACGCCCAGGUGCGCCAGUGUCUGCGAGAUUAAUCUCUCAUGGCCGCUGCACAAGAACCUGGCUUUUAGCUGAACUAAGGAGAAAGUCCUACAACAGUUUGGCGUGCAACAUGGGGCUUGAGAAAGGGUUUUCAGCAGCUUCCGGAGGCCGCCUGGACUGCAGAAGGCGCCCUGGGCGUGUGUACUUCCACCUCCGCAGGCGCUGGCAUCUCCAGGCUGCUUCAGGCCGCUUUGGACCUCACCAUCGGUAGCAUCUGCGUCUUCUUGAGGUGACUGGAGCCCGUCUAUGGUUUCAGCCAUUGACUUCUGGACAUGGAAGUGUCGAGGCCAUUUUUGGCCCCUCUCAUAUCCGGGAAGGGCUCCGUGCCCAGUAGAGGUGCAGUGCAGCAGCCAGCUCGCAGCAGUGCUCCCGUAGAGCUGAUGGCAUUGGCAGGAGUGGCGGCUCAGCACAGGGAAGUUCUCCAGUGCCCAGGCCCAGGCUUGCUCUCGGUUUAGGUCCCAUGGCACGUGGGGCUCUGGACCUGCCUGCCUCCAAGACAGCUCUUCCAAGGUUGAGGGUUGGAACUCCACAGCCUCAGCCUCCCAAAGCUUGACCAGGCCCAGCCAUAGCUAGUCUAGGAAAAGAGCAAAUGGCCGUGUUUUUAUAUUUUGACUUUUGCAUUUCAAUAUUAAUUUUUUUGGUAAUGUAAUGCAUUCAAAACAUGGUCCCCCCCCCCAAAAAAAAAAGAAAAGAAAAAGAAAAAAGCAUGUUUCUAACCAGGGGUCCUUCAUCUUCUGCAGAUGCCAAGGGUGUCCCUGGCACAGUAAAAGUUUGGAAGCCCUGCCCUAAAGCCUCACCUCACCUGGCAGCUGGGUGUUUCAUUCAUAGCAAAUGUUCUGUAUAUUCACCAUGUACCAAACACACAUGUCACUAAUGAUACAAACACAUGUGCACUGACAUUGACCUCCUCACUGUCUUACUAUAGUCCCAUCCACAGCCACCUUAUCAGAGUCCAUGGGACUCUGACAACUUGUAAUGGGAAAAUUAACCGUGCCUGUAGGGGCCGCCUGGGUAGCGGGAGGUGGUUCAUGAGUACCAGGAAAGCUGGCCCUGGGGCAGACCUGGGCAGGGCAGAGCACAGCUUGCAGGACCUAGUACACAGUGUUGGGAAUUGAAUUUGGGUUUUGACCUUUGAAGCUGUGCAUAAAGUCUAAAACAAGAAGAGGAGUGGAGGCUGAGGUUGUAUUUGUAUUUUAAAAUGAGCAUUUGCCACACAAAGCCAGGAGCUUCAGACCAGCGUGGUUAACACAGCGAGACCCUCCUCUCUGUGAGAAAUUAAAAAAAAAACAAUAAUAAAAGCCAGGCAUGUUGGCAUGUACCUGUAGUCCUAGCUCCUCAGGGGGUGAGGCGGGAGGAUCACUUGACUCCUGGGUUACAGUGAGCUCUAAUUGCCACUGCACUUCAGCCUGGGCCACAGAGUGAGACCUUUUCUCAAAAUAAAAUAAAAUAAAAUAUAACCUUUUGGGCAGGCAUGGAAAGGGGCUGGAGAGAAUAAGAGGAAACAGAGAUAAGCCCCCUCCCUGGGAGCACAAGGGACUCAUCCCCAGACAUGGCACCACAGGCAAACAGACACUGUCACAAAACUAGCAUAUUCUCUUUCCUAGAAGUCCUUUGUUUUCCCCAAGUGCCCUUUCCCCCAACCUUUUGUUGGUUUACGAGCUCUCAAUUCUAACCUCCUAGUACACGAAUAAAAAUGUCUAUCGGGGUGGUGGCGUGAGCCUGUAGUCCCAGGUACUUGAGAGGCAGAGGUGGGAGGAUCCUCUGACCAUAAGAGUUCCUGACCAGCCUGUGCAAUACUGACUCCAUCUCAAACAAAAAACAGAAAGCUAUACAACUCCGUUUCUCUUGCUAAUUUGUCUUUUGUCAGUUUAAUUUGCAGGCCCCAGAUGCUGAAUCUAAGAGGGCAGAGGAAAAGCUUUUCCUCCCUGACAUAACCAUCCAGGAGAAAGUCUGGAAUGGAGGGUCAGAGGGGUAGGGAAUGGAGUUAGGAGAAGUAGAUAGAUUCAGGACAGUCUUUGGAGAAUGUACAUCACUGAGGUCAAGAUGUCCUAGGGAAUGGCCCUUCUGGGUUCACAAUUCUGCUUCCGUCGGUUAACAGCAACUUAGUCCCUUCUAUGCCUGUGGGGAUAAUCAGUCAGGAUAGGCUGGAUUAUGCUGCUCUAACAACCCCAAAUUUCUCUGAUCUAAUAAAAGUAUACUCAAAGCUGUA